AUGGAACCAUCCUCGCAGCCUGAGCCUGUGGUGGGUGUGGCCACUGCUGGGUCACAAGCAUAUCCUCCUCCUGCUGCCUAUCCAGCUCCAGCCAUGCCUGCCGCCAUUCCUCCUGGCUCGCAGCCUGCAGUGCCAUUCCCUGCUAAUCCAGCUCAACUCAGUGCUCAGCACCAACUGGUUUACCAACAGGCCCAGCAAUUUCACCAACAACUGCAGCAACAGCAGCAGCAGCAACUUCGUGAGUUCUGGGCUACUCAAAUGGAAGAGAUUGAGCAGGCAACUGACUUCAAGAACCACACCUUACCACUGGCAAGGAUAAAAAAGAUAAUGAAGGCUGACGAGGAUGUCCGGAUGAUCUCCGCAGAAGCUCCUGUUGUCUUUGCAAAGGCAUGCGAGGUGUUUAUCUUAGAGUUGACACUCAGGUCAUGGAUGCACACUGAGGAGAACAAGCGCCGGACCUUGCAGAAGAAUGACAUUGCAGCUGCCAUUACCAGGACUGACAUCUACGACUUCUUGGUGGACAUCAUUCCCAGGGAUGACAUGAAGGAGGAAGGCCUUGGGCUUCCGAGGGUGGGCUUGCCACCUGCUGCUCUAGGGGCACCGGCUGAUGCAUAUCCUCCUUAUUACUAUGUGCAAGCACAACAGGUACCGGGAGUAGGAAUGAUGUAUGGUGGCCAGCAGGGUCACCCAGUGGCAUAUGCGUGGCAGCAGCCUCAAGGGCAACAGGCCGAGGAGGCCCCUGAAGAGCAGCAGCAGUCUCCCUCAAACUAG
This 771-nucleotide ribosomal RNA is filed under the name Triticum aestivum (bread wheat). RNAcentral's name for it is "partial small subunit ribosomal RNA". Lineage: Eukaryota; Viridiplantae; Streptophyta; Magnoliopsida; Poales; Poaceae. The record is from RNAcentral.